CACUACGGCCAUGCCACCCUGAACAAUCCCGAUCCCAUCUGAUCUCGGAAGCUAAGCAGGAUCAGGCCUGGUUAGUACUUGGAUGGGAGACCACCUAGGAAGACGAGGUGCUGUAGGUG
Molecule: non-coding RNA, 119 nt
Organism: Pteropus alecto (black flying fox)
Lineage: Eukaryota; Metazoa; Chordata; Mammalia; Chiroptera; Pteropodidae
Source: Rfam